AUUCUUCUCUGUUCUCUGGUGAAUAUCGACGAUCCUUUUCAUGCUGCGCUCAAGUACGCGCAACAUUUCCUAGCCCUACGGUCGUAUUUAUGCACUCGUCUGACUGUUUUGGCGAGAAGAAAGAAAAGCGACGACAAGAGUGAGGACUCAAGCGACGGAGAGAAUGAAAGAGAAGAAGCAAGACAAUGCCAAGCCACAUUCAGCACGUGUUACAACAGCGUGGCUUCGUACAAAAAGUGUGCGGCUACUUUCCUGGCCCGCCUGCAGUCCAGACCUGUCUCCCAUCGAAAAUGUGUGGCGCAUUAUGAAGCGGAAAAUACGACAGCGGAGAUCCCGGACUGUUGAAUGACUGAAGAUCUACAUAAAACAAGAAUGAGAAAGAAUUCCACUUUCAAAGCUUCAACAAUUAGUUUCCUCAGUUUCCAAACGUAUAUUGAGUGUUGUUAAAAGAAAAGGUGAUAUAACACAGUGGUGAACAUGCCCUUUCCCAACUACUUUGGCACGUGUUGCAGCCAUGAAAUUCUAAGUUAAUUAUUAUUUGCAAAAAAAAAUAAA
Nerophis ophidion (straightnose pipefish) is the source of this 555-nucleotide long non-coding RNA. RefSeq lists it as uncharacterized. NCBI's taxonomy places the organism in Eukaryota, Metazoa, Chordata, Actinopteri, Syngnathiformes, Syngnathidae. The record is from RefSeq and is a predicted model, not a curated record. The transcript has 3 exons.